UUGAGGAGUUAAUUUGCGUGUUU
RNAcentral lists this microRNA (23 nucleotides) under Aedes aegypti (yellow fever mosquito). RNAcentral's name for it is "Aae-Mir-1891-P2-v2_5p (mature (guide))". Lineage: Eukaryota; Metazoa; Arthropoda; Insecta; Diptera; Culicidae. The record is from RNAcentral. RNAcentral also lists the same sequence under 1 other name.